RNAcentral lists this transfer RNA (78 nucleotides) under Planctomycetes bacterium RIFCSPHIGHO2_12_42_15. Its description in RNAcentral is "tRNA-Arg". It matches the Rfam family "tRNA". Rfam says of the family: Transfer RNA (tRNA) molecules are approximately 80 nucleotides in length. Their secondary structure includes four short double-helical elements and three loops (D, anti-codon, and T loops). Further hydrogen bonds mediate the characteristic L-shaped molecular structure. tRNAs have two regions of fundamental functional importance: the anti-codon, which is responsible for specific mRNA codon recognition, and the 3' end, to which the tRNAs corresponding amino acid is attached (by aminoacyl-tRNA synthetases). tRNAs cope with the degeneracy of the genetic code in two manners: having more than one tRNA (with a specific anti-codon) for a particular amino acid; and 'wobble' base-pairing, i.e. permitting non-standard base-pairing at the 3rd anti-codon position. The record is from RNAcentral. Lineage: Bacteria; Pseudomonadati; Planctomycetota.
GCGCCAGUAGCUCAGCUUGGAUAGAGCAUCGGAUUUCUAAUCCGGCGGUCGAGGGUUCAAGUCCUUCCUGGCGCGCCA